UACGUAGGCAGCGAGCGUUGUUCGGAGUUACUGGGCGUAAAGCGUGCGUAGGCGGUGGUCCAAGUCUGGUGUGAAAUCUCCCGGCUCAACUGGGAGGGUGCGCCGGAAACUGGGCCGCUGGAGUGCGGGAGAGGCAAGCGGAAUUCCAGGUGUAGCGGUGAAAUGCGUAGAUAUCUGGAGGAAUACCUAUGGCGAAAGCAGGUAUCUGGGCCACAACUGACGCUGAGCUGCGAAAGCUAGGGGAGCAAACAGG
This 253-nucleotide ribosomal RNA is filed under the name uncultured bacterium. RNAcentral's name for it is "partial 16S ribosomal RNA". It matches the Rfam family "Bacterial small subunit ribosomal RNA", at positions 524 to 776 of the family's 1533-position model. The record is from RNAcentral.